CCCAGAGCGGAGAAGAGGGCCUCUUGGUGAAGAUGGACAGCCUGGAAUGACUAACCCUCCCCACCGGACGGUCCCUGCAGCUUAGAUGGCCCGGACCAGCUCACCCUUCCUUCCCACCAAGGGGAGAAUAUAUGGAAGUAGAUGGACAGAGGUCACAACUACAAACGUUUCCAAUAUGAUAUUCAAGCAAUGAUAAAGUAAGCGGAAUCCAUGCAGAAUACAUUUCUGCUAUUGCUGGCUAAUUCAGAAUAUGUCCUGUCGGAGAUUCCACAGUGUGAACCUGGCUUUAUGGUGUCCAGUCUCUGCUCACAGGGAAAUGCCCAGUGAAUCAAU
Molecule: long non-coding RNA, 333 nt
Organism: Hyla sarda
Lineage: Eukaryota; Metazoa; Chordata; Amphibia; Anura; Hylidae
Exons: 3
Source: RefSeq, a predicted model, not a curated record